GGAGGAGCAUGUGGUGUAAGUCGAUGAUACGCGAGGAACCUUACCUGGGCUUGCACGUAUGGUGCAUGAGUGUGAAAGCACUCGGUCCGUCACAGGACUUCAUACGAGGUGCUGCAUGGUUGUCGUCAGCUCGUGCCGUGAGGUGUUAGGUUAAGUCCUGCAACGAGCGCAACCCCUGUUUUUAGUUGCCAGCAGGUUAUGCUGGGCACUGUAGAAAGACUGCCUGCGCAAGCAGAGAGGAAGGUGGGGAUGACGUCAAAUCAGCACGGCCCUUACGUCCAGGGCUACACACGUGCUACAAUGGUCGGCACAGAGGGUUGCUACCCGGCAACGGGAUGCUAAUCUCCAAAGUCGAUCUUAGUUCGGAUCGAAGUCUGCAACUCGACUUCGUGAAGUUGGAUUCGCUANGUAAUCGGUAUAUCACGCCAUGAUACGCGUGAAUACGUUCCACGGGCCUUGUACACACCGCCCGUCAAGCCAUGGAAGUUGGGGGUACCUGAAGUCGAUUACCGAAAGGGA
Molecule: ribosomal RNA, 519 nt
Filed under: uncultured organism
Description: bacterial SSU rRNA
Rfam family: Bacterial small subunit ribosomal RNA
Source: RNAcentral